UGGGGAAUUUUGGACAAUGGGCGAAAGCCUGAUCCAGCAAUGCCGCGUGUGUGAAGAAGGCCUUCGGGUUGUAAAGCACUUUUGUCCGGAAAGAAAUCCUUGGCUCUAAUACAGUCGGGGGAUGACGGUACCGGAAGAAUAAGCACCGGCUAACUACGUGCCAGCAGCCGCGGUAAUACGUAGGGUGCAAGCGUUAAUCGGAAUUACUGGGCGUAAAGCGUGCGCAGGCGGUUUGCUAAGACCGAUGUGAAAUCCCCGGGCUCAACCUGGGAACUGCAUUGGUGACUGGCAGGCUAGAGUAUGGCAGAGGGGGGUAGAAUUCCACGUGUAGCAGUGAAAAUGCGUAGAGAUGUGGAGGAAUACCGAUGGCGAAGGCAGCCCUCUGGGCCAAUACUGACGCUCAUGCACGAAAAGCGUGGGGAGCAAACAGGAUUAGAUACCCUGGUAGUCCACGCCCUAAAACGAUGUCAACUAGUUGUUGGGGGAUUCAUUUCCUUAGUAACGUAGCUAACGCGUGAAGUUGACCGCCUGGGGAGUACGGUCGC
This 545-nucleotide ribosomal RNA is filed under the name uncultured bacterium. RNAcentral describes it as "partial 16S ribosomal RNA". It matches the Rfam family "Bacterial small subunit ribosomal RNA", at positions 355 to 889 of the family's 1533-position model. The record is from RNAcentral.